AUUGAACGCUGGCGGCAGGCCUAACACAUGCAAGUCGAGCGGAUGAAGGGAGCUUGCUCCUGGAUUCAGCGUCGGACGGGUGAGUAAUGCCUAUGAAUCUGCCUGGUAGUGGGGGAUAACGUCCGGAAACGGGCGCUAAUACUGCAUACGUCCUGAGGGAGAAAGAGGGGGAUCUUCGGACCUCACGCUAUCAGAUGAGCCUAGGUCGGAUUAGCUAGUUGGUGGGGUAAAGGCCUUCCAAGGCGACGAUCCGUAACUGGUCUGAGAGGAUGAUCAGUCACACUGGAACUGAGACACGGUCCAGACUCCUACGGGAGGCAGCAGUGGGGAAUGUUGGACAAUGGGGGAAAGCCUGAUACAGCCAUGCCGCGUGUGUGAAGAAGGUCUUCGGAUUGUAAAGCACUUUAAGUUGGGAGGAAGGGCAGUAAGUUAAUACCUUGCUGUUUUGACGUUACCAACAGAAUAAGCACCGGCUAACUUCGUG
RNAcentral lists this ribosomal RNA (484 nucleotides) under uncultured bacterium. Its description in RNAcentral is "partial 16S ribosomal RNA". It matches the Rfam family "Bacterial small subunit ribosomal RNA", at positions 30 to 507 of the family's 1533-position model. The record is from RNAcentral.